UCAACCAAAACUGAAAAUCAUGUUUUCCCGCCAAAAUCGUAUGCCGACGUUUUUCCGCCAUACCGUAAAACCACGUUUUCUCCCCAAAAUCACAAAAAAUGUUUUCCUGCCAAAAUUACAAAAAGUGUUUUCCGACAAAAUUGAAAAUCGUAUUUUCCCGCCAAAACCGUAAACCGAUGUUUUCUCACCAAAAACUGUAAACCAAUAUUUUCUCGCAAAAACCUUAAACCCGUAUUUUCUAGCUAAAUUUUUCUU
This 255-nucleotide small RNA is filed under the name Arabidopsis thaliana (thale cress). Its description in RNAcentral is "ATSL176850". The record is from RNAcentral. Lineage: Eukaryota; Viridiplantae; Streptophyta; Magnoliopsida; Brassicales; Brassicaceae.